Molecule: ribosomal RNA, 497 nt
Filed under: uncultured bacterium
Lineage: Bacteria
Description: partial 16S ribosomal RNA
Rfam family: Bacterial small subunit ribosomal RNA
Source: RNAcentral
GACGAACGCUGGCGGCGUGCCUAAUACAUGCCAGUUGAGCGAUGAAGAUUGGUGCUUGCACCAAUUUGAAGAGCAGCGAACGGGUGAGUAACGCGUGGGGAAUCUGCCUUUGAGCGGGGGACAACAUUUGGAAACGAAUGCUAAUACCGCAUAACAACUUUAAACAUAAGUUUUAAGUUUGAAAGAUGCAAUUGCAUCACUCAAAGAUGAUCCCGCGUUGUAUUAGCUAGUUGGUGAGGUAAAGGCUCACCAAGGCGAUGAUACAUAGCCGACCUGAGAGGGUGAUCGGCCACAUUGGGACUGAGACACGGCCCAAACGCCUACGGGAGGCAGCAGUAGGGAAUCUUCGGCAAUGGACGAAAGUCUGACCGAGCAACGCCGCGUGAGUGAAGAAGGUUUUCGGAUCGUAAAACUCUGUUGGUAGAGAAGAACGUUGGUGAGAGUGGAAAGCUCAUCAAGUGACGGUAACUACCCAGAAAGGGACGGCUAACUACGUG